UUGCUGACACACUGGUUUAAGUGGUCACUUGUGUUGACGUUUGGGCCAGGGGUCUGCAGAU
Oreochromis aureus is the source of this 61-nucleotide microRNA precursor. The record is from Ensembl. Lineage: Eukaryota; Metazoa; Chordata; Actinopteri; Cichliformes; Cichlidae.